This 240-nucleotide unclassified non-coding RNA is filed under the name soil metagenome. RNAcentral's name for it is "partial contains 5.8S ribosomal RNA, internal transcribed spacer 2, and large subunit ribosomal RNA". The record is from RNAcentral.
AACCUUAUGGACCUGCGGGCGUAUACCUGCGGAGGGAUCAUUAACCUUUCAAAUCAGGGUGCGGCGCGGCCCCCGAGGAGCGGAAACAAUCCUUGGGAGGUAUGCGGGGGCUUCGAGCCCCCCAUUUACGCACGCACGACUGCCAUCCUUACUUUACGAGCACCUUCUGUUCUCCCUCGGCGGGGCAACCUGCCGUUGGAACCGAAUAAACUCUUUUUGCAUCUAGCAUACCUGUUCCGA